This 364-nucleotide ribosomal RNA is filed under the name uncultured bacterium. Its description in RNAcentral is "bacterial SSU rRNA". It matches the Rfam family "Bacterial small subunit ribosomal RNA", at positions 29 to 412 of the family's 1533-position model. The record is from RNAcentral.
AACGAACGCUGGCGGCAUGCCUAACACAUGCAAGUCGAACGGGAUCCAGGCUUCGGCCUGGUGAGAGUGGCGGACGGGUGAGUAACGCGUGGGAACCUGCCCAAUGGUCUGGGAUAACCGCGGGAAACUGCGGCUAAUACCGGAUAAGCCCGAGAGGGGAAAGAUUUAUCGCCGAUGGAGGGGCCCGCGUCAGAUUAGGUAGUUGGUGGGUAAUGGCCUACCAAGCCUACGAUCUGUAGCUGGUCUGAGAGGAUGAUCAGCCACACUGGGACUGAGAUACGGCCCAGACUCCUACGGGAGGCAGCAGUGGGGAAUAUUGGACAAUGGGGCAACCCUGAUCCAGCAAUGCCGCGUGAGUGAUGAA